Molecule: ribosomal RNA, 155 nt
Filed under: Cladosporium cladosporioides
Lineage: Eukaryota; Fungi; Ascomycota; Dothideomycetes; Cladosporiales; Cladosporiaceae
Also listed under: 9 other names
Description: 5.8S ribosomal RNA
Rfam family: 5.8S ribosomal RNA
About the family: 5.8S ribosomal RNA (5.8S rRNA) is a component of the large subunit of the eukaryotic ribosome.
Source: RNAcentral
AACUUUUAACAACGGAUCUCUUGGUUCUGGCAUCGAUGAAGAACGCAGCGAAAUGCGAUAAGUAAUGUGAAUUGCAGAAUUCAGUGAAUCAUCGAAUCUUUGAACGCACAUUGCGCCCCCUGGUAUUCCGGGGGGCAUGCCUGUUCGAGCGUCAU